Molecule: ribosomal RNA, 933 nt
Filed under: Cystinarius eutactus
Lineage: Eukaryota; Fungi; Basidiomycota; Agaricomycetes; Agaricales; Cortinariaceae
Description: LSU rRNA
Rfam family: Eukaryotic large subunit ribosomal RNA
Source: RNAcentral
AUCAAUAAGCGGAGGAAAAGAAACUAMCAAGGAUUCCCCUAGUAACUGCGAGUGAAGCGGGAAAAGCUCAAAUUUAAAAUCUGGCAGUCUUUGGCUGUCCGAGUUGUAAUCUAGAGAAGUGUUAUCCGCGCUGGACCGUGUACAAGUCUCCUGGAAUGGAGCGUCAUAGAGGGUGAGAAUCCCGUCUUUGACACGGACUGCCAGGGCUUUGUGAUGCGCUCUCAAAGAGUCGAGUUGUUUGGGAAUGCAGCUCAAAAUGGGUGGUAAAUUCCAUCUAAAGCUAAAUAUUGGCGAGAGACCGAUAGCGAACAAGUACCGUGAGGGAAAGAUGAAAAGAACUUUGGAAAGAGAGUUAAACAGUACGUGAAAUUGCUGAAAGGGAAACGCUUGAAGUCAGUCGCGUUGUCCAGGGAUCAACCUUGCUUUUGCUUGGUGUACUUUCUGGUUGACGGGUCAGCAUCAAUUUUGACUAUUGGAAAAUUUUCAAGGGAAUGUGGCAUCUUCGGGUGUGUUAUAGCCCUUUUUUGUAUACAAUGGUUAGGAUUGAGGAACUCAGCACGCCGCAAGGCCGGGUUUUUAACCACGUACGUGCUUAGGAUGCUGGCAUAAUGGCUUUAAUCGACCCGUCUUGAAACACGGACCAAGGAGUCUAACAUACCUGCGAGUGUUUGGGUGGAAAACCCGAGCGCGCAAUGAAAGUGAAAGUUGAGAUCCCUGUCAUGGGGAGCAUCGACGCCCGGACCAGACCUUUUGUGACGGCUCCGCGGUAGAGCAUGUAUGUUGGGACCCGAAAGAUGGUGAACUAUGCCUGAAUAGGGUGAAGCCAGAGGAAACUCUGGUGGAGGCUCGUAGCGAUUCUGACGUGCAAAUCGAUCGUCAAAUUUGGGUAUAGGGGCGAAAGACUAAUCGAACCAUCUAGUAGCUGGUUCCUGC